Molecule: unclassified non-coding RNA, 262 nt
Filed under: Glomeraceae sp.
Lineage: Eukaryota; Fungi; Glomeromycota; Glomeromycetes; Glomerales; Glomeraceae
Description: partial contains 5.8S ribosomal RNA and internal transcribed spacer 2
Rfam family: 5.8S ribosomal RNA (bases 1-71)
Source: RNAcentral
GUGAAUCAUCAAAUUUUUGAACGCAAAUUGCACUCUCUGGUAUUCCGGAGAGUAUGCCUGUUUGAGGGUCAGUUUAAAUAAUAAUAGUUGUGGUUGCUGCCUUUCGUGGUGACGCAUCGGAUUUGGGUUGUCUUGCCUUCGGUUAAGUGACAUAAAAUUUUGCAUGAUCUUUUUCGAACGUUUUUAAAUGAUUUUACGUAAGUUUGAGAUAUCGAAUACUAGGUGUGGUUAUCAUCAUGAUUCGAGUCUAUAAUUUUUCAUC